Molecule: ribosomal RNA, 198 nt
Filed under: uncultured bacterium
Lineage: Bacteria
Description: partial 16S ribosomal RNA
Rfam family: Bacterial small subunit ribosomal RNA
Source: RNAcentral
GCAACUCGCCUACAUGAAGUCGGAAUCGCUAGUAAUCGCGGAUCAGCACGCCGCGGUGAAUACGUUCCCGGGCCUUGUACACACCGCCCGUCACACCAUGGAAGUCUGCAAUGCCCGAAGCCGGUGGCCUAACCACUUAUGUGGAAGGAGCCGUCUAAGGCAGGUCGGAUGACUGGGGUGAAGUCGUAACAAGGUACC